AAAAAAUCUACUAUCUUGCCAAAAGCAUUUAUUAUUCCCCUUUUAGUGAAAGAAUUAAACCAUCGGAAUCAAAAUGUGUUAUAAGAUAUUUAUAUCAUCAUUAUUGGCAUUAACUAUUAUCGUUACAGAUUGAUAAAAUUCCCAGACUCAUUCCUGUUCUGUGGACAUGGCCACCCUUCCUCACAUUAAGCCAUUGUUAUCUUGUUUAACCAAAAUUGGGGACCCUAUCUGCAUGUAGAGUGAAAAAGGGCCUGAAGAAAGUACAAGUAGAAUAUUAUGCAGUCUAGUCAUAUUGAUUUGACCACCUGUCAACAGCAAGAAUGAUCAGCUGUUACAAUACAGACCACAGAUAGACAUACAGGAAGAAAAUUCCUUGAGGUUCUGAAAAUUACUCAAAGGGAAGUGAGGUUAUGCUGACUCAAGCAUUGUGAGAAAAAUUAAACAAAUUGAUAAACAAGAAUCCAGCAAACCAAACAUUUAGCCCAUAAAAGACAAUGAUAAGUCAGUUUUGAAAUAAUUAGUUCGAGAUGUAAAGUGAGUAAGAGGUGCAAACUUUCUAACUGGUCUUCUUACUAGAGGAAAAAUAUUUUUUAAAUUACAGAUCUUAAUUCAAUAUUAUGAAAAUAGUUCAGAGUUUGAAUGUUUGAAUAAUUGCUUCUUUUUUUUUUUGCUGUGUCUUGAUUAA
Molecule: long non-coding RNA, 685 nt
Organism: Parasteatoda tepidariorum (common house spider)
Lineage: Eukaryota; Metazoa; Arthropoda; Arachnida; Araneae; Theridiidae
Source: RefSeq, a predicted model, not a curated record